RNAcentral lists this long non-coding RNA (11439 nucleotides) under Gossypium barbadense (sea-island cotton). Its description in RNAcentral is "long non-coding RNA (GBAR_LNC014588)". Lineage: Eukaryota; Viridiplantae; Streptophyta; Magnoliopsida; Malvales; Malvaceae. The record is from RNAcentral.
GGGGGAGAUUUUGGAUUCUAUCUCAUUCGGCUAAAAACAGAAGCCGAAAGCAAUUGUAAAAAAGGGAUCCCCAUUCUUGUACACACGCAUAUUUCAGAAAUAAAAGAGCAAAAACAAAAGAAAAAGGUUACGUUUUUUCAAUUUCUGAUUUCUUUUUUUCUUUUUUCAUUUUUGAUUUUGCUUUUAAGCUUCAAGAACAAGAAAUAAAAAGAAGACGGGGAGAAAACUUACCCGAACCCCUGGGUCACACCGUCGGCGGUUCCCUCAGUCGUCGGAGCCGAACCCAAAACGGGUGGAGAUCCCUUCAUUUUCGGGUUUUCUUGGUUAAAAAAUCUUAGCCUUCAUACCUGGUUGAAUCGGGGGCUAAAAACCCACCCUUGAGCAUCGCCAGCCACCGAUACGGUGGGGGCGCGGUGAUGCAACGGCGACGGGCUCACGAUUCAGUAAGAGAGGAGAGGGAGAGAAGCUUUAACAUUCUAUUUUUUUUGUUCUUUUUUUCUUUUCUUCUAUGAAAUUAGGGCUGAAAUAAUAAAGAGAAUGGGUGUUUUAAACACCAAACAAAACGGUGCCGUUGGUGGGGAUGGGGAUUCAUGUAUCCUCAAUUAUUAGGAUAUUUGCACACGAGGUCCCUCCAUCUUUAGCGUCCUUUGAUCAGGCCCUAUUUUAUCUUUGCUUUUUCUCUUAAUUUAGUUGUUAGAUUUUGCUUGUUUUUUAAAUCAGUCUUUUGAUCUGUCGGGCCUCAUGCGCAUGUUAGGGCUAUGGUUUUUAUCCCAUUUGGUCCUUAUGAUUUUAGGUGCACUUCAUUUUAAUCCUGGCAGUAUCUUUUUAUUUUUUACCUAGAAUUUUGUAUUGUUUUCGAAUUAAUCCUUCACCUGUUUAAUUCUUUUUCUUAAAAAAGGAACUGUUAUUGUAUGUGUUUAAAAUAUUCUAUAUACGGUUCAUUUUCAUAUAUUAUUAAUUUUAACCAAUUUUAUGUAUCAAUUACUCAAAGUUGUAAGUUGUUUUGCAUAUAUUGUUUAUUCUAAACUACUCUACAUACAUUAUUUAUUUUGGUUUCUUUGCACAUAUUAUAUAAAUAUUUUCUAUUCUUCAUAUAUCUUUUUUUCUUUUUCGUAUAUUAUUGUUCCUUUUUUUUAAAUAAAAUUUCUUUUUUUACAUCAUUUAUUUUAAACUCUAUUUAUUUAUAUAUUGCUUAUUUUAAAUUAUUAUACGUAUCUUAUUUUGAAUCCUAUUUAUUUAUUUCGAAAUGUUUUACUGCUAUUAUUUGCUCUUUUUAUAUCAUUCACUUCAUACUUUUAUACAUAUAUAUACAUACUGUUUAUCUUAAUUUUUUGUAUAAACAUAUUUUUUAUCGUUUAGUGUGUUAUUGAUUUUUAAAUUUCCUUUUUCACAUUAUUUAUUUCAAACUUAUUAUUGUCAUUUUAAAAUGUUUUAUAUUAUUUAUUUUAAUUUAUUUUAUGCCAUUUAUUUUCUUAAAAAAUUAUUAUUUAAUUCAUUGGUCUUUUAUCUAUCGAUGUUAUUAUUUAAAUGUUGUAUGAUUAUUGUCUUUGUGUAUUUUAAUUUGUUUAUUUCGUAUUUUUGCAUUAUUGUGAUUCAUCCAUAUAAUGUUGUGUUCAUGUAUCAUUGUUCUAGGCUUAUUACUAUAUUUUUAUUUUAUAUCAUCGCUUCAUGAAUCAAGUCUCGUUGCAUUUAUCCAAUAAAUUGUUUUAUUUUAAUCCAAACAAAUAAUGCACACUAUCUAAAUGUUGCAUUUGCUAUUAUUCAAAAAAAAAAUUCAAAAUAAGGCAAUAUUUCGUUUUUAGGAAAUUCGAGAAAACGUACCCUAACUUACUGGGUUUCGACUUUCUUCGUUUACCCUAAAUAACCGAACAUCCUUUUUAAAAAAAAGUUAAAAUGCAUGAAUUUUAAAUAAAGACAAACUCACUCUCAAAAGCUCGAGAUGUCGUGUCCUAACUUACUGGAUGUGAUAUUUUAUCACUUAGAGAUGAGAAGGUCUUUAAUAUUUGAGUUUUUUUUACAAAGAGAUGGAUCGUAUUUCAAAGUAUUUUAAGUUUUCAAUUUUCGAAACUAAGACACUAAUUAAUCAACUAGGUACCAAUUUUUGGGCGUAUCGAGGGUGCUAAUCCUUCCUCGUGCGUAACCGACUCCCGAACUCAUUUUCUGAUUUUCGUAGACCAAAAAAAAUUAUCGUUUUAGUAAAUCUUAACUUUUAUUAAAAUGAUUAAUUCGAGGUGACCCGAUCGCACCUCAUCAAAAAGGAUUGGUGGCGACUCCUCUAUUCAUUUUCAUUUUCAAAACCCAAGUCGACCCCGUUUUUAAUUCAAAAAUGGUGUCAACAGCUUGGCGACUCCACUGGGGACAACCACAAUAAGUGAGUCGGGCCACGAGUUGAUUAUUUUUUGUCUUUUUGUCGAAAAUCAAAACUUGGUUUAAAUAUACGAUCCUUUCAUCGCAUUUCAUUGCUCUUUAUUACAAUUUUCAUCGUUGUGGUUUAUAAUUGUUGUGUUAGUUUAAGUUUUUGUAUCUUUCUGCACAUUGCAUUGCAUGACCGUUGGUCACACCCUUUUAAGUGGGAGUGAGAAACUACGCCUUCGUGAGGUUUUCACCUCCGCAUGGGAUAGUGAAUCGCUUUCGGGAUACAUCCGUACCUAUGUCUUCGUGAGAUUUUCAUCUCCGCAUGGCCAUAGGGAAAUGUAUCCCCCUGAAUCGAACUUGGUCCGUAUGAGCCUAUAAUGAGUGAGGAUCGAGGAAUUUGCUGGUUCAGGUACCCUACUUUAGAACCAAACCACAUGUAAUGAGCCAUAGGAACCAACCUAGGUAGAGCUACUCUAAAUUUUUAGUGCUUACCUAAAUGAAUGUUGUAUUUAUUUGUCGCUUAUUUUAAAUCUUAUUCUGUGUUUAAUGCUAAUUUACUUUGUUUGUGAUUGCAUGGCAUCUUCAUUCUAAAAGAGGUGUCGAUUUACGUUCAGUUUCUUGGUAGAAAGCUUAUCAUGGAAAAGGGGUUUGUUGAUAAAGUAGAGGAUAAUGCGGCUGUGCGAAUAUGGGCUGAAACGACACAACGGGAGAAAGGCGAUAGUCUUACCGAAGGGUACGUGUCAGAAUUGUGGGAUUUUACCCGUAUCAGUGUAAUCCAAAAUGACCUUCGAGAAAUGAAAGAAGUCUGGGAUCAAUGGGAUGUCGAGGCCAAGCAGCUGUUCUAUUGUAACUACGGUGACCUACCUUACCUGCUUAGUGUCAAAGUGGACAAGUAUUUAUUCCGAGCCCUUGCUCAGUUUUGGAAUCCUGCCUACAGUUGUUUCACUUUUGGGAAGGUAGAUUUGACGCCUACUGUGGAGGAGUAUACGACCUUGCUUCGGUGCCCAAAGAUUCAAGUCGACAAGGCUUAUUCCAGAGCUGCUUGUGUCCCUCCGUUGUUAAAGAAAUUAAUGAACAUCACUGGAAUGAGCGAGCAGUGGGUCGCUGCCCGGAUCCAACAGAAGGGCGACAGUAAAUGUGUUCCUUGGAAAAGUUUGCGAGAUUUGGUGCUUGUACAUCCUGACUUAAAGAAAAGGGUCGAUGUUUUCGCUUUAGGUAUCUAUGGACUAGUGGUUUUCCCCAAAGCUUUAGGACACAUAGACGAGGCUGUAUCUGAUUUGUUCGAUCGGCUUAGUAAAGGGGUUACACCGGUUCCGGCAAUACUCGCUGAAACUUUUAGAUCAUUGAAUGCGUGUCGAAAAGUAGGGGAGGGAAGGUUUAUUGGAUGCGCGCAGCUCUUAUUGGCAUGGUUCCAUAGCCACUUCUGGAAAGUCGAAAAGGUCUCUUAUCGGGUAUUCUCUGAUAGCUACUCCCCUCUAGGAGAAUUGGUGGCCACGCCAAGACGAGAUGAUAUUUCAGAAGAAAAAUGGAUAGAGAUACUCCAGAAUCUCCAAGAUGAAGAUAUUGAAUGGAGGGCUCCUUGGUUAAUUCCUGAUGAGAUAUUGUACCGAUGUGGAGAUUUUGACUGGGUUCCGCUGCUCGGGAUAUGGGGAGCUAUCGGAUAUGCUCCUCUACUCGUAUCAAGACAGUAUAGAUCACGACAAUUCAUACCAGCAACCCAGGGGUUGGCUUAUAGUGAUUUUUCCUAUAGGAAGGACAAUUACAAGAAGAAGGUUCGAGAAAUAUCUAGUGCCUGGAACCAGACUCGUCGAAUGAAGAUCUUAGCCGUGGGUCCGACAAUUACCCCCGAGUAUGGUCAGUGGCGUGAUCAAAGGAUCAAUGACAACAUCCCGGCGUCAAAUUCAGAAACUGCUCGAUCUUUAGAGGAACACUUACAAGUUUUGCCUUCUGAAAUAGAAAUCAUCAAACAAGAAUUCGAAAAAAGAAGUUUAGAAUUAGGGAAGAAGAUAGAACAACUAGAGGAAGAAAAAAUGCAGUUAGGACUGGAUGUGGACAUUCAAAGAUUAGAGGCCAACAAAUUGAGAAAAGGAAAGAACAAGGCAGAAGAAGAUUUGGACAGCCUGAAGACAGAUUACAAGAAGUUGCGUAAGUCGGUAAGAGCCGCUGGCUUGGGUAAAACACCAGAACAAUGGCGACAAGAAAUUCAGGAGGAAAAGACAAAAGCUAAUCAAUGGGAAAAGAAAUUUCAGGAUACUCGGGCUCGAGAAGUCGCCUUGGGAAAGAGUCUACUAGUUUGCCAAGACGAGAAGACGGUGUUGAAGGUCCGGAUAACUGAACUAGAAAGAUCGCUUCACCAGUACUGUAAUCGUAAUGCUACGGUUGAAUUAAGGGUGAGCUUAGACAAAAUUGAAGAAUUAAAAAGACAGAUAGGAGGGCUAGAGAAUGCAUUACAAAAUAGUGAAAUCCGGAUAGAGCUUCUGGAAGAAAGUAAUGAGCAGUGGCAAAGACAAUUCCGUCGGUCUCAAGAGCAGAUUGGAGAAAGAGAUUAUAUUAUGGGAGAGGCGGUGACUCAAGUGCGCGAAGUAGCUGAUCAUCUGCAAACUCUAGCGGUUCAGGCUGAUCUAUUAAGUUUGAAGUAUGAGUCAGAGUCGGACAGGGGCCGAGAAUUAGCUUGGCUUCUUAGAAAGGUUAAGGCUUUGAGUGUGAGGGCAAAGCCAUAUAUGUAGUCUAUUUUAUGUAAAGAAACUCUUUAUCUAGUAAAGUUUUCUAAUGAAGUUGAAUUAGAAUCAGUGCCUCUUUUUCUUUGCAUUCUUUUCAUGCAUUGCAUCACAUCACAUGCAUUAAUGACCAUUAAAAACCUAAUCGAAUAAAAUCAUUUCAGUUAACCUGGAAAACCAACAAAGUUACGGCACCCGAGCUAAGACAAAAAUUAUGGACCAAAGGUUGGAGAAGCUAGAGCGACUUCAAAAAGAAAUGCAAGACCAGUUGCAGGCGCAAAUGAAAGAGCAAAUAGAAAAGAUUCAGCGUGACAUGGUGCAAAAGAUGGAGGAGUCCCAAAAUGAUCUGGUGGCUAAGAUGACGCAAUUAUUGAAGGGAGUAGACAAGGGUAAAGGUCCUGUGAUUGUUAGUGAAGAAGAAAACAAUGGUGAACCACUUUAUCCUCCAGGUUUCACGCCUCCGCAUGCGCAAGUACAGACUGAGCUGCAUCCGCGGAGACCCUCUGUGUCGGUUAGGCCCCAGCAGUUCCAAGGCGAUGCUUCAAUUCCAAUGAAUUUUCAACCCGGAGCGGGCUUUAAUCCCGGUGAUAGCCCGAAUAAUAUUGCUGUCCCAGAUCUUGACGAGAUGGUUGAAAAGGAUAAGGCGAAGGAGGAAUUUCCAAAACAAUUUGAGGAGAAAUGGAAAUGGAUAGAAGAGAAGUUUAGGGCAAUAGAAAGCAUCGAAAGCUAUGGAAUAGAUGCAAAGGAUCUGAGCUUGGUUCCGGACUUGGUGCUCCCUUACAAAUUUAAGAUGCCGGAAUUCGAGAAAUAUAAUGGGACCAGCUGCCCAGAAGCUCAUAUUACUAUGUUCUGUAGGCGUAUGGCCGGAUACGUCAACAACGACCAACUGCUCAUACACUGCUUUCAAGAUAGCCUCACAGGGACAGCGUCUAAGUGGUACAAUCAAUUGACGCGUAUCCAGAUUAGUUCUUGGAGGGAUUUAGCACAAGCCUUUAUGAAACAAUACAGUCAUGUAGCUUAUAUGGUCCCUGACAGAAUAACCCUGCAAAAUAUGGAGAAAAAACCUAAUGAAAGUUUUAGGCAAUACGCACAAAGGUGGAGGGAGGUCGCUAUCCAAGUUCAGCCGCCACUCCUAGAGAAAGAAAUGACGAUGCUCUUCAUCAACACAUUGAAGGCCCCGUUCAUCACCCACAUGUUAGGAAGUGCUUCGAAGAGUUUUUCAGACAUAGUCAUGAGCGGUGAAAUGAUUGAAAGUGCCGUGAGAAGUGGAAAGAUUGAUGCUGGGGAGAAUAAUAGAAGGUCAGACUUAAAGAAGAAGGAAAAUGAUGUGAGCAAUGUCAACACUUACAACAAAUCGAUUACACAGCCAAGAAAGGUGACUGCUAGUCAGCAAGGUUCAUCUAGACAAGAAAUUAGUGUGAAACAAGGUACUGAGAACCUCCAGUUCACGCCAAUCCCGAUGUCGUAUAACGAGCUGUAUCAAAAGUUAUUCGAUGUACGCAUUGUUUCUCCUUUCUACUCAAAACCUCCACAGCCACCGUACCCCAAAUGGCACGAUGCGAAUGCACAUUGCGAAUAUCAUGCGGGAAAUACGGGGCAUUCCAUAGAGAACUGCAUAGCCUUCAAGAAACUGGUUGAAAAGCUCAUCAACAUGGGUGUCGUCAAGUUUGGUGACUCAUCUAAUGCAGAAAAUUCGCCACCCAAUCAUGAUUAACAAUGGGGUGAACGCAAUAUAUGAGAAAGUGUUGGGAAGUUUUCACAUCAAUACCAUAUAUGAAGGCAUAAUUGAAAAGGGAUCUUGUUAGAUGUCUGCCCUUAUAAACCUGGAGUGUUCCAAGCAAUGGGCUUGUAGAAUAAAUCCCUGUAGUUUUUAGAGCUUAUUUAGAGUAAUGUUCAGAACAUUUUUGCUAUUUUUAGCCUGAAGCGAUAGAAAUUCCUUUGUGAAAUAGGCUAAUGUCUGAACGUUAUUAUUCUAAUAAAAUACAUCUUUGCGUUCCUUUUUGAGCCAAUAUUCUUUCAUUCUUUUUAAUAAUUAUUUUUGAUUAUUUCAUUCUGUUGGAUUUUCUUCCACAACAUUCAUUCAUAAUCAUAUUGUAAAUAAUCAUUCAUAAAUUUAUACAUUCUUUUGUAUAUUCCUCGGUGCUUAUUAUGAGUCCUCAGAUAUCAAUAACAUGAAUGAAACUGCUGCAAACUCAGAUUUUCCACUUGAGUGAGGCAUGUGCUUAGAUGGAUCUCAUGACUUUGGAAAUGACAUAGAUAGUAGCUUACCCCCAAACUUAUUGAGGAUGGUUGAGUAGGAGGAUAGACAGAUCACUAGGAAUUCUGAGCUUGGAAUUGACUUGUCCUUAAAAAUGAAGCAAGACCUUGUUCAAAGAUGUCUUUGUAGGAUCAUACCAGGAUAUGCUGGGUUAAGCACUGAUAAUGAAAUCUGCACAACAACACGAUGUCCAAACUCGUAUGAAUGAUACAAUUCUUUGCCGGGGCAAUACCGUUCUCGUCAAUUCAGCAUAGCUUUGCCCGUUUGAAGUCGAGUUUCUAUUCCUUCAAGAUGUUGCUAGAUUUUAUCCCGAUGGAAGAAGAAGAUCAAAAGUUUCCAGUUGUAGUUUUGCCCUAAAAGGCUCUAUAAAGGAAAUUCGAUAUCAGAGAAGAUCCUUUGAAGGGGAUAACAAAGACUUGCCUAAUCCCAAGAGUUUAGAUCCGAUUCAAAAAACAAGGAAAAAUGAAAAAAAAAACAAAAUCAAAAUCAAAAUCAAAAUAAAAAAUAAAAACAAAGAGAAAUCAAUCAAAGUCAAAAUAAAAAUAUGAAAAGCAAAGAAAAGAAAAGGAGAGGCCAAGGCGAAAAACCAAAAAGGCGCUUUGUGACCAAAAGUGGUUUUGAGUGGAAAACCCAAAAAGGGUGACUCAAAUUUUGAGCAAAAUGGGGCAUGGACAUCACCAUUAUCGAAGACUUCUAAUGGGCAUUGCUUCACUAUUGAGAUCAUUAAUUACUUCAUCAAAUGGAUAAAGGCUACAGCAUGCGUCAAUGUCAUCAUAUGCCAAUAUAGAAUUCUAGAGACGAUGGUAUGGGAAAAUGUAUUGAACUAGAAUGACAACAUGAUAGUUGAGGGCUGUAAUCGGUUCAAAAUCAGACAUCACAGUUUGUCACUGUAUUGUAAGACAAUGAAGUUCAAAAAAAAUAAAAAGAUGAAGAAUGAAAAUGGAAAAUGAAAAGAGUAAAAUGGAGAGGCUAAGGGGAAAACCCGCAAAGGGCACCUUAGGCCAAAGGGGAUCUGAGCUGAAAACCCGAAAAGGGCGGCUCAAAUACUGAUCAAAAUGGGGCAUGGGGUGAUAUAAGCUGCUCAAGUUUUGUUCAUAUUGAGGCAUGUGUUGAUCUUGCCAUGCCUGAAUCAACAGGAAAGGAUAGGCGACAUCUUGGGGGCAUCGACAGAGCAUUGUAGAUCUCCUAAACACAUGUCCAACUCAAAAGGGUCUUCAGAAAGUUUGUAUAGAGAAGUUCAAGCUGUGAUAUCUGGGGCACCCAAUUCUCAUGUUAUUUGUUGUUCUUGGAAUACUUUUUCUUUCUUUCCAAGAUAUACAUUCCCAAUUAAUUCUUUUGUUGUCCUUCUUCACUAUUUUCGAUAAUUUGUUCUUUCGAGCUAUGCUCAGAACCAACUUUAUUCUUAUCCAUUGUUAUGACCUUUUUGCAAGCAUUGGAAUAAUGAUUAAUGGACUAAUAAAACUUUCACAAAGGAAGUUUUGCAUAUUACUCUGAAAAGUUUCUAAAUAAUACAGGAACCUGAAACAGGACUAUUGUUUAGAACAUGCCAAAUUUGAAGGUUGGAAAUUUGAGAAGGAAGAGUCUAAGUUUAGACUUUCUCUUUGGAUUUUGUUGACAAAUGCAUUGAUUGAACAAAAUGACAAGAUGUCGUGUCAAUGAAAAAGCUUAAAUAAACAAGCAAGCAAUGAUCACUAGGCAAUAGGAAGAGGUUACCUCGGAGAAGAGAGCCUUCAUUUGUGCAUGAGUCUUUGAAACGACACCCUGGAAAUGGUGUAAAGGGGGACCAGAAAGAUUAAGAUCCUAUAUCCUUGAAUUGUGAUAAAAGAGGAUUGAGGAAAAACCAUAUUUCUACCCUUGGAUUGUAGUGGGAGAAUGAUGGUACAAAUUUUGUGCCCUAAUAGAUUAAACUUUAAGGUUUACAGUGGGGGGCAACCAGAUUAAGUGUUUCUUUGGAUAUACCAGACGAGCAAAAAGGCGUUGUAGUACGUCAGUGAUAAAACCUUAAUAAGUUUUUACGUGAUGUUAACCUAAGCAUUAAGGAAUCAUCUUCAUGACAUUUUGCAUUCAUUCAAAUGUCAUUCAUACAUAUCUAGUUAGGAGCAUUUGAUUCAUUCUGAUUAUGUCAUCCUAAUCACUAGGCACAAUUAGGUUCAUAAAAUAGAACAUACAGGUCAUGUUCCCCAAGGGACAGAUCAAUGAAGUCACAAACCUUGCCUCUUUCGAUUGUGAUGGAGCUGGUUAAAGACAAAAGAUCUUGCCUUCCUACAUUGACAGCGAAGCAGAUCGAAGACACAAACCUUGCCUCUUUCGGUUGUGAUGGAGCUGGUUGAAGACAAAAGAUCUUGCCUUUCUGCAUUGACAGCGAAGCAGAUCGAAGACACAAACCUUGCCUCUUUGGUUAUGAUGGAGCUGGUUGAAGACAAAAGAUCUUGCCUUUCUGCAUUGACAGCGAAGCAGAUCGAAGACACAAACCUUGCCUCUUUCGGUUGUGAUAGAGCUGGUUGAAGACAAAAGAUCUUGCCUUCCUGCAUUGACAUUGAAGCAGGUCGAAGACACAAACCUUGCCUCUCUCGGUUGUAGUGGAGCUGGUUAAAGAAGCAGAUCUUGCCGUCCUACAUUAACAGCGAAGCAGAUCGAAAACAAAGCCUUGCAUCCAUCGAUUGCAGUGGAGCUAGUUAAAGAAGCAGAUCUUGCCUUCCUGCAUUAACAGCAAAGCAGAUCAAAAACAAAGCCUUGCCUCCAUUGGUUGCAUUGGAGCUGGUUAAAGGUUACAGAUUUUGUCUCCCUAAGCCGUAGCGGAGCAGAUCAAAGACAGCAAAUCUUAUCUUCAAGUGUAAGGAAGCGGAUUCAAACCACAAGUCCUAUAUCCCUGACCUGUAGUGGAAUAGAUUGGAAAUUACAGAUCUUGUCCCCCUGAAGUUACAGUGGAGCAGAUUGAAGCCAGAGAUCUUAUCUCCCCGAGAUUACAGCGGAGCAGAUCGAAGACACUAUCCUAUCUCCCUGAAGUUACAGUGGAGUGGGUUAAAAUAAAGGAUCUUAUCUCUCUGAGGUUACAGCAGAGUAGGUCGCAUCAAGUCUUAUUUCCCUGAAGAUGCAGUGGAAUAGAUUGAAAACCACAAACCUCGUCCCCCUGAAGUUGCUACGAAGAAGAUAAAGGCUACAGGACGCAUCUCUCUAAAAUGCAGUGGAAUUGAUCGAAGCAACAAGACCUAGUGGACUGGAAUGAAACUACUUGAAAUGGAGAAGUACCAGAACAAGUCAAGACUCGGCGAGACCGGGCAAAAUGGGCCUUUCUUAGUCUUUGCUCUGUUAUCGUUACACGACAACGAGCAAAGAGGGGCAGCUGUUGCAGGCCCAUUUGCCCGGGCCCAAGAAAGAAAUAAAAGGCCCAGCACCCUGGCCCAACAGCCAAGCCCACAUCAGACUAGGGUUUCAGAAACUGAAACCCUAGUAUCCCACUUGCCGCUGCUCUCUGUCAGCCGCACGUCCCAUCGCCAUCUCUCCUCCACCUGCUCCCAUCACCUCCUUGAACACCUGCAAACAUGACGGAAGCAGCAACAGAAACAGAAACGCAGCAAACAGUAACAAAACAACAAUAGGACUUUGUAUAAUCGGCUAUAAAGAGCCAUUCAUUUUCAAUGUAAAGGGGGGAGAUUUUGGAUUCUAUCUCAUUCGGCUAAAAACAGAAGCCGAAAGCAAUUGUAAAAAAGGGAUCCCCAUUCUUGUACACACGCAUAUUUCAGAAAUAAAAGAGCAAAAACAAAAGAAAAAGGUUACGUUUUUUCAAUUUCUGAUUUCUUUUUUUCUUUUUUCAUUUUUGAUUUUGCUUUUAAGCUUCAAGAACAAGAAAUAAAAAGAAGACGGGGAGAAAACUUACCCGAACCCCUGGGUCACACCGUCGGCGGUUCCCUCAGUCGUCGGAGCUGAACCCAAAACGGGUGGAGAUCCCUUCAUUUUCGGGUUUUCUUGGUUAAAAAAUCUUAGCCUUCAUACCUGGUUGAAUCGGGGGCUAAAAACCCACCCUUGAGCAUCGCCAGCCACCGAUACGGUGGGGGCGCGGUGAUGCAACGGCGACGGGCUCACGAUUCAGUAAGAGAGGAGAGGGAGAGA